GACGAACGCUGGCGGCGCGCCUAACACAUGCAAGUCGAACGAGCGAGAGAGAGCUUGCUUUCUCAAGCGAGUGGCGAACGGGUGAGUAACGCGUGAGGAACCUGCCUCAAAGAGGGGGACAACGAUUGGAAACGAUCGCUAAUACCGCAUAAACAUCUUGGGACCGCAUGGUUCUAGGGAUCAAAAGAUUUAUCGCUGAGGGAUGGGCUCGCGGCCGAUUAGCUAGAUGGUGAGGUAACGGCCCACCAUGGCGACGAUCGGUAGCCGGACUGAGAGGCUGAACGGCCACAUUGGGACUGAGACACGGCCCAG
This 312-nucleotide ribosomal RNA is filed under the name uncultured bacterium. RNAcentral describes it as "bacterial SSU rRNA". It matches the Rfam family "Bacterial small subunit ribosomal RNA", at positions 28 to 334 of the family's 1533-position model. The record is from RNAcentral.